GGCUGUCUGCAGUGUCUUAUUUCAGCAUGUGGAAUAAAAACAGGCAGGAGCUUCUGUUAUAUUCUGAAGUGGAGGGUGUGGCUUUUGGAAGAGUGGAUCCCAUGUCUAUUGAAAACCAAAUGUCGUACAAGGAAAAGGAAUGAAGAUGAUUAUUGAGUAUAACAAGGAAGACUCUCCUCACAUCCUGCAAUUUUCGGCUAUGAUUGUGACUGAUGUCAUCUAGCCAGUCAAGCAGCAAGUGAACAUCACAAUUGGAGCUAACAAACAAAACAAAGAGAUGAAGCAGUUGAUAAGAGAGGACCAGUUGAUAAGAGAGGACCAGUGGAGAAGAGAACUGUUCUUCACUAGGCUUUACAAUAUUUCUGUUAAGAAAGAAAAGAACAUGGCUCUUUUUUUGUUUUUAUAUCUUUCAUCAAGCAUUCUACCACACAGAAUUCUGCCACUUCAUUAUCUGUCUAAUAGUAUUCUGGAAAAUAUACAGAUUUUGUUGUACACUAAUUUCUCUUUGCAUCAAAGAGUAAAUAAAUGCCAUUGCCAUGGGAUGAUUUCCUAUGAGCAUAUGGGACUCAUGCAGGCCUUGUACACAAGGAGGUGAAUUUCAUAUAGAACUAUCACAGCUAUGCUUUGAUGGUGAUGUUCACCUCUCCCACACAAAGCCAUACUAAUCCUUUCUAAGAAGAGGUCGGGAAUGGCAUCCACCCUCUGCCCGCAGGGCUGCAAUACAGUCUUUCUAUAGCCACUCCCUGAGCUGCAUGAGUUCCCAGCCACUGAAUAAAUAUGGAUCCAGCAGCCCCCUUUCUGUCCUACUCCUAAUGUUCCCUUCUACAUCAAGUGUCAGGGAGCUCACUUCCCACUGCAUGCAUGGGAUGUGGAGACCCAUCUGCACAGCUGUUCUUCCCUAGGCAUACCCCCUCCUGUCCCUGCCAGGGCUUCUGUGCCAUUGAGACCCUGCAUAAGUUCCUUGGUAAAUCUACAUGAGGGUGAUAAGUGCUCUCAAUUUCCCCUGACAUUGAUUUCACCUUUACAGUCCAUCUAGAUGAUGGGGGGGGGGAGAGGAAGAAACUUUUAAAAAUUGAGUUAAUAAUUGUUUCAAAUCAUGUUAGUUAAGGUGUAAACUGUCUAUACAAGGUCUUAAGGGAUGUUUCAAAUCACGUUAUGCAACAAUUUAAAAAGCACGUUUCUUUUGUAAUUUAACAGACCCUUAGAGACUAGUGACACUUGUAGUUUCUGUUUCUCUAUCCCAAUAGAUCACAAACCAAGCUUUAAAGGUGACAUGCAAAGUGGUAACUUUGGGCUUCUUCCUUCUUUUGCUUUAUAACAUAUAAAGGCUUCCCCUUCAAAAGUUGACUUUCUGCUUUUCAGUAUCAGCAAGUCAAGUCUCUAUGGAUCCUGGAAAACUAGUGAAGUUGUGACUUCACAUGAUAUUGAAAGUUGAGCAACAAAGAGCAGAAAGGCAUCCUACUUGUCAGUGUUUAAAACUCUUUGUAUUUUGUUAACUAUUUAAUUCUAAGCCUAAUAAACAUUUACUCUUCUGUCAUGGCCUCACCUGAGUCAGUGGAUCACCUGGCAAUGUGAGCUUGCCUGAAUUUUUCAGCAGUAAAUAGCUAUUGAAGUUAAGUUGGCCACCUGGGCUUUAAAUUCCCAACACAUAAAACAAUUGUCUAGUGCUGGCUCAACUGAAAAGGUACAGUGAGAGCUCAGCCCCAGACUUGGCUAGGCUUCUUAGAUUAUGGUAGAGGAGAUCUUUCACCCCGAACUGGUCCCUGGAGAAAGCAGACAAAACUUUUUAAUCUUGCCUGCUGGGCCUGAUUGGCUUCUGACUGCUCCCAGCCUCUGGAGAACCAGAACUUACUGGUUCUGCUAGCAGCUGAUUCUGGGUGGCCUCUCUAAGCUGUUCUGGAGGUCUGAACUCAGUUUCCCCUGGAAAGUACCCCUUCUUCAGGCAGUAUGUGCCAAGGUGAUGAGACCUCCAGCAGGGGGAAGCAAAAUCAUGGUACACCCCACUUCCCUAGUUAUCAACCCUAGCCAAGCUUUGCAUUUCCCCUGCCAUCAACUCUGCCAAUAUUCCCACAGUCUUGUCUGUCCAUAUGUCAACUUCUCACCUCUGUGCCUUCUUCUCUGAGCCUCAUAUGCAUGGAACAACCUUCCUAAACUCAUCCACAGUGCCUAGAGCCUGUCCACAUUUAAAUUCUGCCAUGCUGCAAUACAGUGUAUCAAGUUGUCUUGUAUAGAAAUUGCACAUUGUUAUUCCACUUCCCCUAACUUCUGUCUACUAGUCCCUCUGGCAGGACUGCAAGUUCCUUGCAGCAGAGAUCAUCUUUCUUAGGGGUCUGGAAAGCACCUAGCACAGAGUAGGCACUACUGAAAAUACAUAAUAUGAGAGACUAUCUUCAUUAGAGAUUUGUGAUGAAUCCACAGAACCAUGCGAGGUCAGCAAGAGGCGUUUUGAUGAAUCUGCUGGGUGAGAGUCUUUUGUGACUCUUUCCCUCCUGGGUAGGGAUGUAGGUGAAGAAGGUUUUCUGGCAGUAGGAGGGCCAGCAUAUAGAGGAAGAAUGUUUGGGUUCUCCUGGGGGAGCACAGUGUCUGGUGGAAGUUGGUGGAGUGUUGUGUGGGCCCCACCAGCUGUUAGAGCCUUAGCAGCCAAAGUGCCUACAGUUCGUGCCGGGGCCAUCGUGUGCUACCAGGGUUCAGCUCAAGACAAAGUUUGAUAGCACACCACUCCAAAGACCACACAAGUAGGCACUGAUUACAAUACAGCCAACCCCAAAAGUUCAAGAAUCACGUCACCCCCCACAAAACCCAUGACACUGUCCCCAAAUUUUUUUAUAACUUUUAAGAAUGAUUAUAUUGUAGUAUGUGAUCUGUCUUUUCAUUUUGAACUCCCCCUGCCACUCACAUAUGUGUGUGUCAUUCAUAAUAUUGGCAACUCUUUCAUAUUUAUAGAGUAAAGUGAUUUUGAACUCUGCAGCAGGAGCUCUCAUUGGAAGACCCAACUGAGGUCAAAUUAUAUGGAUUUAUUGCCUGAUGGGGCAUGGCUUCUCCCCAAACCCAAAUAUUCUAACUAAUUCUGUGCCCUCCAGCCCCACAUUUGGCCAUCCCUUAGUCCAUCAAUUAAUUAUACACACCCCAGCCUCCGUGUCAGCUGUGCUCCACCCAGCCACACACCUACCCUAUGGCCCCUAGCCUCACCUCUGCUGUCCUCCUGCAGCUCCAGGAGCUCUUCACUCCCUCUUCCAGGCCUGCUGGCAUCACCCCCCUUUAUGUGUAUGGUAGGGGCUGCUUCUUCUCCCCUAGCCAAAAACUCCUUUCAAUGGCUGAGGGGAGGGUGUCUGAUGCCUCUAAUAGCAGCACCGUAGCUUUUCCCCAGGAAGCAAGGAAGACACAGAGGGGUUUUUCCUCUCUGCUGGAGUUUUGGUCAGCUUCUCCCAUUGAGAUUCUGGAGAGGCUGGGUUAGCUUUGGGCCUCUGUUGUGAGCUGAAUCCAUGUACCUCAGUUGAUAAAACAUCCUGUAAACACAGCAGGCUCAAUUCUCUGCUCAGUGCAGGAACUGGGAAGCAGGAGAAGGCAAAGAUGGUUUUAAGACACUGGGUCUGGCCCAAAGUGUAAUUUAGAGCAGCUGCAAGAUUCCUUUAACUUACAUUUGGGUUCUUAAGGCCACAUGGGGCUAUGCCAGCAAUUGAAAAUAGCCAGAGCACAGUUGAACCCAAGCCAUGUCCCCUUUUUUUGGUCAUGUCCCUUACACCAGGAGUGGCAAGGGAGUCACAUACAGUAGGAAUGCCAGCUCUAUGACACGAGGGCUUCCCACCUAUGCUGGGGGUAUUUCCCUUUAUUUUGAUCCAGUAGUAUUAAAACUCUCUUUAGCAAUUGCGGGAACACUAAUGUAAACUCACUGCCAGUGCUUUAACCACUGUGUCCACUAAUUCUGCUGUGAAUAGGUGUAGAUGGCACUCUGGUUAAAAUCCUGGCAGCCAUGGGAGGGCUUGUCCAGACUGGCACUUUCAGAAUUGCUCCUGCCAGUGGAGCUACACUGAUGUUCAGGCACCAGUGGGAGGGAGGGUGACCAGGGUUUUUUAGGGGGAGGAAUCAGUAGUGGUAUGAAAUAGCCUUGUUGGGUGACUUUGGGGAUUUGGGAGAGUGUUGUUGUUUUUUGGACUGUGG
This is a long non-coding RNA of Chrysemys picta bellii (western painted turtle), 4158 nucleotides long. RefSeq lists it as uncharacterized. The record is from RefSeq and is a predicted model, not a curated record. Lineage: Eukaryota; Metazoa; Chordata; Testudines; Emydidae.